This 396-nucleotide ribosomal RNA is filed under the name Sympetrum meridionale. RNAcentral's name for it is "partial 12S ribosomal RNA". It matches the Rfam family "Microsporidia small subunit ribosomal RNA", at positions 761 to 1302 of the family's 1311-position model. Lineage: Eukaryota; Metazoa; Arthropoda; Insecta; Odonata; Libellulidae. The record is from RNAcentral.
AACAGUAAUUUUCUUGAAACCCAAAGAAUUUGGCGGUAUUUUAUUCUUUUUAGAGGAACCUGUCCUGUAAUUGAUAAUCCACGAUAGGAGUUACUUAUUUUUGUUUUCAUUUUGUAUACCUCCGUCAUCAGAGUAUCCUUUUAGGGGUAAAUAUCCUUAAUAUAUAAAAUAUUUUAUGUCAGGUCAAGGUGCAAUUUAUAAAUAAGUAGAGAUGGGUUACAAUAAAUUUAUUUAAAUGGAUUAUCAUUAUUAAUGAUGGUAUGAAGGUGGAUUUAAAAGUAAUAUUAUUUUAUUUAUUAAUUUGAUUAUAGCUCUAAAAUAUGCACACAUCGCCCGUCGCUCUUAUUUUAAAAUAAGAUAAGUCGUAACAUAGUAGGUGUACCGGAAGGUGCUCCU